UGGGUUGGCCAAAAAGUUAGUUUAGGUUUUUCGUAAGAUGGUAUGGAAAAACCUGAAUGAACUUUUUGGCCAGCCCAA
Molecule: microRNA precursor, 78 nt
Organism: Bison bison bison
Lineage: Eukaryota; Metazoa; Chordata; Mammalia; Artiodactyla; Bovidae
Source: Ensembl